UAGGGAUCUUCCACAAUGGACGAAAGUCUGAUGGAGCAACGCCGCGUGAGUGAAGAAGGGUUUCGGCUCGUAAAGCUCUGUUGGUAGUGAAGAAAGAUAGAGGUAGUAACUGGCCUUUAUUUGACGGUAAUUACUUAGAAAGUCACGGCUAACUACGUGCC
This 161-nucleotide ribosomal RNA is filed under the name uncultured bacterium. RNAcentral's name for it is "partial 16S ribosomal RNA". It matches the Rfam family "Bacterial small subunit ribosomal RNA", at positions 356 to 509 of the family's 1533-position model. The record is from RNAcentral.